AGUGAACGCUGGCGGUAGGCCUAACACAUGCAAGUCGAACGGCAGCACAGUAAGAGCUUGCUCUUACGGGUGGCGAGUGGCGGACGGGUGAGGAAUACAUCGGAAUCUACUUUUUCGUGGGGGAUAACGUAGGGAAACUUACGCUAAUACCGCAUACGACCUACGGGUGAAAGCAGGGGAUCUUCGGACCUUGCGCGAUUGAAUGAGCCGAUGUCGGAUUAGCUAGUUGGCGGGGUAAAGGCCCACCAAGGCGACGAUCCGUAGCUGGUCUGAGAGGAUGAUCAGCCACACUGGAACUGAGACACGGUCCAGACUCCUAAGGGAGGCAGCAGUGGGGAAUAUUGGACAAUGGGCGCAAGCCUGAUCCAGCCAUACCGCGUGGGUGAAGAAGGCCUUCGGGUUGUAAAGCCCUUUUGGUGGGAAAGAAAAGCAGCAGGUUAAUACCCCGCUGUUCUGACGGUACCCAAAGAAUAAGCACCGGCUAACUUCGUG
This 492-nucleotide ribosomal RNA is filed under the name uncultured bacterium. RNAcentral's name for it is "partial 16S ribosomal RNA". It matches the Rfam family "Bacterial small subunit ribosomal RNA", at positions 29 to 507 of the family's 1533-position model. The record is from RNAcentral.